Acipenser ruthenus (sterlet) is the source of this 139-nucleotide small nucleolar RNA. RefSeq annotates it as small nucleolar RNA SNORA72. Lineage: Eukaryota; Metazoa; Chordata; Actinopteri; Acipenseriformes; Acipenseridae. The transcript has a single exon. The record is from RefSeq and is a predicted model, not a curated record.
AUGCGAAUUAUUCUCGCCUGCUGGAUCCAUCAAUGGUCUAAUCAGGGCUAGACAUUCGCUAGAUUAAAAAAAAAAAACCUGCAGUGUCCACAGAACUGGUUUUGUGCCUGUUUUGUUUAUUUUUCUGCUGGUGACAGUU